AAGAAAUUAGUUAAAACAUAACAUUAAUAUGUCAAAUUAAAAUUAUUAUUUAAAUAAUAUUUCUUU
RNAcentral lists this transfer RNA (66 nucleotides) under Dianemobius fascipes nigrofasciatus. Its description in RNAcentral is "tRNA-Asp". The record is from RNAcentral. Lineage: Eukaryota; Metazoa; Arthropoda; Insecta; Orthoptera; Trigonidiidae.